CGAGGUGCCCCCCCCCCCCGUUUCCUGGCCCUGCCACUUCCUGGUACCUCCCCAACAGCAGAAGCACACUCAGGCUUUAUCGUCUACACCCACAGAAGACACCACUGGUCACCAAAGCACAGUUCCCCCUCGCCCUGUGGAAAGCCCAGGUUUGACCCGUGUGAGGUCAAACUGGAGAGAAGGAACCCCUUCCUACUCCCCAGUGGGCAAAUCUUAAGGUCUUCGCCAAUCAAGGACAUUUCUAACCGUAAGAUUUGAUGGAAGUCUAUGGAAAGCUUCAGGGAAAAUUUUCUUCCCUCUUGAAACAGAAUAGAGGGAAAGAAAUUGACCUCUUGUGUUCUGACCUGUGGAUGCUGCUGUAAGAGCACAGUGUCUGGAGAUGUGGCAGCCAUCUUGGGUCCAUGAGAGAGACUGUGCCAUCACAAGAAAAGAUGGAAAGAACCUAGAUGUUUGACACUUGCUGGUGAGUUGCUGAAUUGAUCAGCCAACCCUAGGACUGCUCUACUUCAAGGCAUUGAUGAAGCCACACUGGGUGUGGUCAUCAUUUCUUAGUGGCAAAGCCGUCUUGUGGGAUGCAUCCUGCAUAGGGUGAACUAGGCAGAAGCAUGCCUCCUGGCUGGAACUCCUCAGCAUCCCUCCAGACCCCUGGGAGGUACUUAGCUGACAUCCUCUUGAGCAAUCCUACAAGCACCUCAAAAACAUCUCGGAACUUGAACCAAUACCUGCCUAACUCCCCGGAAGAACUUGUCCUUCACGGGUGAAUGGAGUAAGGCCAAGUUCCAACCCUGUGAAGCUUCCAUAGCAAACACACAACCAUGCAGGAGGCCCAUGCCACGGCCCGGGGUGGGGGGACUGGGGAGGUGCCACGGAGAAGGGAUAAUUCAGCUGUGAUUUCAAUACUGAAGAGAAUUUUUUGAGAUUCAAAUUCUCAGCUCUGAAAAGGAAAGAAGAGCUUUCCAGCCAGAGGAAACGGCAAGUGCAAAGGCCCUGGGGUUGGGCUGAAUCUGUGAUUUUCCAGGAGCAGCAAGGAGCCGGGGAGGAGGUAGCAGUGAAAGAAGAGCCGAGGAGGGGGAAGUCGGAAGGGCCUGUGGGGAGGGCGCAGGGUCCUCCUCGGAACUGUCCGGUUGUAUCCAAAGUGCAG
This 1141-nucleotide long non-coding RNA is filed under the name Marmota monax (woodchuck). Lineage: Eukaryota; Metazoa; Chordata; Mammalia; Rodentia; Sciuridae. The record is from RNAcentral.